This is a long non-coding RNA of Bombina bombina (fire-bellied toad), 157 nucleotides long. RefSeq lists it as uncharacterized. Lineage: Eukaryota; Metazoa; Chordata; Amphibia; Anura; Bombinatoridae. The transcript is spliced from 3 exons. The record is from RefSeq and is a predicted model, not a curated record.
GUUGCACUGACCUGAAACAACGCACUCAAGCUACACGCAAGAGCCCCUGAACACAACAAGAUGCACAAGUGCACGAGUUUGCUGCUGGUAUCUAUCAUUAUGUGUGCCACAAUCUCGCAGACAUUUGGGCUAGUUUUAUCAGGAAAAGACAAACGGG